Molecule: ribosomal RNA, 433 nt
Filed under: uncultured bacterium
Lineage: Bacteria
Description: partial 16S ribosomal RNA
Rfam family: Bacterial small subunit ribosomal RNA
Source: RNAcentral
AACGAACGCUGGCGGCAUGCCUAACACAUGCAAGUCGAACGAGACCUUCGGGUCUAGUGGCGCACGCGUGCGUAACGCGUGGGAACCUGCCCUUAGGUUCGGAAUAACUCCCCGAAAGGGGUGCUAAUACCGGAUAAUGUCUUCGGACCAAAGAUUUAUCGACUUUGGAUGGGCCCGCGUUGGAUUAGCUAGUUGGUAGGGUAAAAGCCUACCAAGGCGACGAUCCAUAGCUGGUCUGAGAGGAUGAUCAGCCACACUGGGACUGAGACACGGCCCAGAAUCCUACGGGAGGCAGCAGUGGGGAAUAUUGGACAAUGGGCGAAAGCCUGAUCCCGCAAUGCCGCGUGAGUGAUGAAGGCCUUAGGGUUGUAAAGCUCUUUUACCCGGGAUGAUAAUGACAGUACCGGGAGAAUAAGCUCCGGCUAACUCCGUG